AAAGGGUGCGUAGGCGGCCUGUUAAGUCAGGGGUGAAAGACGGUAGCUCAACUAUCGCAGUGCCCUUGAUACUGAUGGGCUUGAAUUGACUAGAGGUAGGCGGAAUGUGACAAGUAGCGGUGAAAUGCAUAGAUAUGUCACAGAACACCGAUUGCGAAGGCAGCUUACUAUGGUCUUAUUGACGCUGAGGCACGAAAGCGUAGGGAUCAAACAGGAUUAGAUACCCUAGU
RNAcentral lists this ribosomal RNA (230 nucleotides) under uncultured bacterium. Its description in RNAcentral is "partial 16S ribosomal RNA". It matches the Rfam family "Bacterial small subunit ribosomal RNA", at positions 562 to 791 of the family's 1533-position model. The record is from RNAcentral.